RNAcentral lists this ribosomal RNA (1537 nucleotides) under Salmonella enterica subsp. enterica serovar Heidelberg. Its description in RNAcentral is "partial 23S ribosomal RNA". It matches the Rfam family "Bacterial large subunit ribosomal RNA", at positions 1280 to 2800 of the family's 2925-position model. Lineage: Bacteria; Pseudomonadati; Pseudomonadota; Gammaproteobacteria; Enterobacterales; Enterobacteriaceae. The record is from RNAcentral. RNAcentral also lists the same sequence under 9 other names.
UAUCAGAAGUGCGAAUGCUGACAUAAGUAACGAUAAAGCGGGUGAAAAGCCCGCUCGCCGGAAGACCAAGGGUUCCUGUCCAACGUUAAUCGGGGCAGGGUGAGUCGACCCCUAAGGCGAGGCCGAAAGGCGUAGUCGAUGGGAAACGGGUUAAUAUUCCCGUACUUGGUGUUACUGCGAAGGGGGGACGGAGAAGGCUAUGUUGGCCGGGCGACGGUUGUCCCGGUUUAAGCGUGUAGGUGUGUGUUCCAGGUAAAUCCGGUUCACUUUAACACUGAGGCGUGAUGACGAGGCACCACGGUGCUGAAGCAACAAAUGCCCUGCUUCCAGGAAAAGCCUCUAAGCAUCAGGUAACAUCAAAUCGUACCCCAAACCGACACAGGUGGUCAGGUAGAGAAUACCAAGGCGCUUGAGAGAACUCGGGUGAAGGAACUAGGCAAAAUGGUGCCGUAACUUCGGGAGAAGGCACGCUGACACGUAGGUGAAGUGAUUUACUCAUGGAGCUGAAGUCAGUCGAAGAUACCAGCUGGCUGCAACUGUUUAUUAAAAACACAGCACUGUGCAAACACGAAAGUGGACGUAUACGGUGUGACGCCUGCCCGGUGCCGGAAGGUUAAUUGAUGGGGUCAGCGCAAGCGAAGCUCCUGAUCGAAGCCCCGGUAAACGGCGGCCGUAACUAUAACGGUCCUAAGGUAGCGAAAUUCCUUGUCGGGUAAGUUCCGACCUGCACGAAUGGCGUAAUGAUGGCCAGGCUGUCUCCACCCGAGACUCAGUGAAAUUGAACUCGCUGUGAAGAUGCAGUGUACCCGCGGCAAGACGGAAAGACCCCGUGAACCUUUACUAUAGCUUGACACUGAACAUUGAGCCUUGAUGUGUAGGAUAGGUGGGAGGCUUUGAAGCGUGGACGCCAGUCUGCGUGGAGCCGACCUUGAAAUACCACCCUUUAAUGUUUGAUGUUCUAACGUGGACCCGUAAUCCGGGUUGCGGACAGUGUCUGGUGGGUAGUUUGACUGGGGCGGUCUCCUCCUAAAGAGUAACGGAGGAGCACGAAGGUUGGCUAAUCCUGGUCGGACAUCAGGAGGUUAGUGCAAUGGCAUAAGCCAGCUUGACUGCGAGCGUGACGGCGCGAGCAGGUGCGAAAGCAGGUCAUAGUGAUCCGGUGGUUCUGAAUGGAAGGGCCAUCGCUCAACGGAUAAAAGGUACUCCGGGGAUAACAGGCUGAUACCGCCCAAGAGUUCAUAUCGACGGCGGUGUUUGGCACCUCGAUGUCGGCUCAUCACAUCCUGGGGCUGAAGUAGGUCCCAAGGGUAUGGCUGUUCGCCAUUUAAAGUGGUACGCGAGCUGGGUUUAGAACGUCGUGAGACAGUUCGGUCCCUAUCUGCCGUGGGCGCUGGAAGACUGAGGGGGGCUGCUCCUAGUACGAGAGGACCGGAGUGGACGCAUCACUGGUGUUCGGGUUGUCAUGCCAAUGGCACUGCCCGGUAGCUAAAUGCGGAAAAGAUAAGUGCUGAAAGCAUCUAAGCACGAAACUUGCCCC